GUCUACGGCCAUACCACCCUGAACGCGCCCGAUCUCGUCUGAUCUCGGAAGCUAAGCAGGGUCGGGCCUGGUUAGUACUUGGAUG
This is a ribosomal RNA of Bison bison bison, 85 nucleotides long. NCBI's taxonomy places the organism in Eukaryota, Metazoa, Chordata, Mammalia, Artiodactyla, Bovidae. The record is from Ensembl.